GACGAACGCUGGCGGCGUGCUUAACACAUGCAAGUCGAACGAUAAAACCGGAGUUUGCUCCUCUGGAUGAGUGGCGAACGGGUGAGUAACACGUGAGCAACCUGCCCUUGACUCCGGAAUAACUUCGGGAAACUGGAGCUAAUACCGGAUAUGCGCCGAACAGGCAUGGGUAGCGGUGGGAAAUAACUGCGGUCAGGGAUGAGCUCGCGGCCUAUCAGCUUGUUGGUGAGGUAACGGCUGACCAAGGCGUCGACGGGUAGCCGGCCUGAGAGGGUGACCGGCCACAUUGGGACUGAGACACGGCCCAGACUCCUACGGGAGGCAGCAGUGGGGAAUAUUGCACAAUGGGCGCAAGCCUGAUGCAGCAACGCCGCGUGCGGGAUGACGGCCUUCGGGUUGUAAACCUCUUUUGGCAGGGAAGAAGCGAAAGUGACGGUACCUGCAGAAAAAGCACCGGCUAACUACGUG
RNAcentral lists this ribosomal RNA (468 nucleotides) under uncultured bacterium. RNAcentral describes it as "partial 16S ribosomal RNA". It matches the Rfam family "Bacterial small subunit ribosomal RNA", at positions 28 to 507 of the family's 1533-position model. The record is from RNAcentral.